RNAcentral lists this ribosomal RNA (253 nucleotides) under uncultured bacterium. RNAcentral's name for it is "partial 16S ribosomal RNA". It matches the Rfam family "Bacterial small subunit ribosomal RNA", at positions 524 to 776 of the family's 1533-position model. The record is from RNAcentral.
UACGUAGGGUGCGAGCGUUAAUCGGAAUUACUGGGCGUAAAGCGUGCGCAGGCGGUUCGUUGUGUCCGUCGUGAAAGCCCCGGGCUUAACCUGGGAACUGCGAUGGAAACUAGCGAGCUGGAGUGUGGCAGAGGGGGGUGGAAUUCCGCGUGUAGCAGUGAAAUGCGUAGAUAUGUGGAGGAAUACCGAUGGCGAAGGCAGCCCCCUGGGAUAACACUGACGCUCAUGCACGAAAGCGUGGGGAGCAAACAGG